RNAcentral lists this ribosomal RNA (1166 nucleotides) under Vibrio sp. RNAcentral describes it as "bacterial SSU rRNA". It matches the Rfam family "Bacterial small subunit ribosomal RNA", at positions 56 to 1203 of the family's 1533-position model. Lineage: Bacteria; Pseudomonadati; Pseudomonadota; Gammaproteobacteria; Vibrionales; Vibrionaceae. The record is from RNAcentral.
UGCAGUCGAGCGGAACGAGUUAACUGACCCUUCGGGUGACGUUAACGGCGUCGAGCGGCGGACGGGUGAGUAAUGCCUGGGAAAUUGCCCUGAUGUGGGGGAUAACCAUUGGAAACGAUGGCUAAUACCGCAUAAUGCCUUCGGGCCAAAGAGGGGGACCUUCGGGCCUCUCGCGUCAGGAUAUGCCCAGGUGGGAUUAGCUAGUUGGUGAGGUAAUGGCUCACCAAGGCGACGAUCCCUAGCUGGUCUGAGAGGAUGAUCAGCCACACUGGAACUGAGACACGGUCCAGACUCCUACGGGAGGCAGCAGUGGGGAAUAUUGCACAAUGGGCGCAAGCCUGAUGCAGCCAUGCCGCGUGUGUGAAGAAGGCCUUCGGGUUGUAAAGCACUUUCAGCAGUGAGGAAGGCGGGUACGUUAAUAGCGUGCUCGUUUGACGUUAGCUGCAGAAGAAGCACCGGCUAACUCCGUGCCAGCAGCCGCGGUAAUACGGAGGGUGCGAGCGUUAAUCGGAAUUACUGGGCGUAAAGCGCAUGCAGGUGGUUCGUUAAGUCAGAUGUGAAAGCCCGGGGCUCAACCUCGGAACUGCAUUUGAAACUGGCGGACUAGAGUACUGUAGAGGGGGGUAGAAUUUCAGGUGUAGCGGUGAAAUGCGUAGAGAUCUGAAGGAAUACCGGUGGCGAAGGCGGCCCCCUGGACAGAUACUGACACUCAGAUGCGAAAGCGUGGGGAGCAAACAGGAUUAGAUACCCUGGUAGUCCACGCCGUAAACGAUGUCUACUUGGAGGUUGUGGCCUUGAGCCGUGGCUUUCGGAGCUAACGCGUUAAGUAGACCGCCUGGGGAGUACGGUCGCAAGAUUAAAACUCAAAUGAAUUGACGGGGGCCCGCACAAGCGGUGGAGCAUGUGGUUUAAUUCGAUGCAACGCGAAGAACCUUACCUACUCUUGACAUCCAGAGAAGCCAGCGGAGACGCAGGUGUGCCUUCGGGAGCUCUGAGACAGGUGCUGCAUGGCUGUCGUCAGCUCGUGUUGUGAAAUGUUGGGUUAAGUCCCGCAACGAGCGCAACCCUUAUCCUUGUUUGCCAGCGAGUAAUGUCGGGAACUCCAGGAAGACUGCCGGUGAUAAACCGGAGGAAGGUGGGGACAACGUCAAGUCAUCAUGGCCCUU